Molecule: transfer RNA, 55 nt
Filed under: Sinentomon erythranum
Lineage: Eukaryota; Metazoa; Arthropoda; Protura; Sinentomata; Sinentomidae
Description: tRNA-Pro
Source: RNAcentral
UAGUAUAUAGUUUAUUUAAAAAUUUUAAGUUUGGAGUUUAAGGAAAUUUUACUAA